UCAAGAACACCUAAAAAACACCCCAAUUAUUAAAAACAAAAAAUAUAUGUUUUUUAAGUUUUUUUUUCUAACAACCCACAAGGUCUCCAAUUUUUAAGAUUUAAAAACAGUUUUCAAGUUGCAUACCAAACAAGUUUUUGAAUCUUAAAAAUAUAUUUAAGAACUCCUCAUUUUUAAGAAAAAUAAAAUUUUUGAGUUUCCUAUUUGAAUAAGAUACCAAACGUCUCCUAAAUUUGUUCUAAUAUUAUUGUUGGUAAGGGGUUUUUAUUUUAUUUUAUUUUUUUUGGGUGGGGUUAUCAGUUUUGAUUGGCCAUCAAGAUAACCUUUAGACCAGCCCACGUGAAGCCUGAUAUAGCUGGGCUUUUAAUUAGGGCAUUUUAGGGAUAAUUCUAGAAUUCUAGGCCAGAUUGAUGCUAGCCCAAUAUAUGACGUAAAAUGCUCAUAUAUGUGCUUAAACUUUUGCGGAAGUGCUGUAAUGAGGCCAAAACUUUUACCAAAACUGAUACUCGGGCCUGGGCCUGUUCUAAUUUUUGAGUUUUAAUUUGAUUUUCUUCUUGCUAGCCUGCUCUGGAUCUUUAGUUUUUCAUUUUUAUAUACAAACGAUAUUUACAGAGAGGGGAAUUCAAACUCGGAUACAGAAUGGGGAGUAUAUCCGCUCUAACCAACUUGACUAAGCCCCUAAGGGCUCGUUUGGUACGAAGGACUGUCUUGGCAUGGACUAUAAUUAGGGACUGUCUUGGAUUGGCUUGGCCUGGUCUAAACUGGAUAACAAUUGUCCUUCGUUUGAUGUAUGUUUAGACUAGGACUAGAUUUUUUUUUAAUUUUUUAUAAAAACAUAUUAAAGUGAAUUUAAUUUAAUUUUUUUGACUUUUCUUCUCUCUCUGCAUCUUCUUUUCUUCUUCCUCCCGCGAAUUGCUUCUUCUUCUCCAUCCUCUCUCAUUUGCCUCUUCUUCUCAAUAUAUGUUUCUCUUUGUUUUUUUUUUUCCAAAAUUUUUUCUCUAUUCCUUUUUUUUUUCCCACAAAUUUUCUCUUUGCUGCUUCUCAAUAUACUCUGUCUUCUACUUCUCCCUCUGCUUGCACAGUCAUCAUUGUCUCACAGUCAACAUCGUUGCACAGUCGCCGUGUCCACAGCCCAUAGUUCAAGCUGCGAAGUCAUUAUCUCUAAUCGGUGCUCGCCGAAAUUGACUGGAACUGACUGCGAUGUUGUAUUGGGGGUCACUGCGUGUGGCUGUGACGGUGGGGGUUUGGAUCAGUUGCAGGUGCUUGGGUGGUCGGUGGUUGUGGAAGGCGCUUGGGUGGUCGAUCGUAGCGGCAAGGGCUUGGUUGUUGCAAGCGCUUGGGUUAGGACUAACUUGUCCCCCCCCCCCCCCCCCCUCCACUCGGGUCUCGCUAAGAACACCUAAGGAGGUGUUUUUGGUGGGGCCAGUAUUAACAGUCCCACUUAAAAUUAGUAGCAAGUCAAAACAAACAUGGGAUAAAAAUUUGUCUAGUCCAAUCCAAGCUUAGAAGGUGUAACAAACGAGCCCUAAAUCUUUUGUUUAUAAAAGCAUAUGUAGAUGGACUAAAAUGUGCUUCGUAUUCUCUAGUAGAAUGGAAUUGGUUUCAUCUUCAUUUUCUUUUGUAAUAGAAUUGAGGUGAAUUACAUUUUAAUUCUUUGCACAUUGUUUUGUGAAGAUGAUGUACCUGAAAUUUUUCUUGACCCCCAUGGAAACCAGAAGAUUUAGCCUCUUAUGGAAUCUCAAAAUCUUCCUAUACAUGCAGUCAAAUCCAUUCUGGCCCUGUGCAUGAAUUAUCAAUUUUCUUUUGAAGAAAAUAGAAUGAUCUACUUUUUCCUUAUUUUUCCAAGUUGUGUUUGUUAUACUGGUUCUCUCUCUCUCUCUCUCUCUCUCUCUCUCUCUCUCUCUCAUGUUGGUUUUAAUUAGUGGAUGCAAAAUCAGAAUAAGCUUUCAAAUAUGUCUAUUUUUCUUUCCCAUCUAAGGGUACCCCACCGCCCCCCACCUGUUUAGGCUGAAUUCACUUGGAUACCCUUGUUGUGAUGCUAACUGAUCAAGUCUUUUUUUUUUCUUUUUUUCUUUUUGUGACAUUGGAUGAAAGGGUCCCAUCAGAUUAAUGAUAUGAUUAAAAAGUUUGUGUAUCCAGAACCAGAAGUGAACAAUUGAGAGAGAGAGAGAGAGAGAGAGAGAGAAUGAGCAAUAAAUUAAUAUUUCAUGGGUUGGAGAAUAGAAGAAGCACCAUAAGUUAACAUAUUUGAAGCAUUAAACUAAACAACAUGAUGGUUGAAGAAUCCCCAUCACAAAGAAAGAAGGGAAGAGAGGAAGGGAAGUUGAAGCAGGGCACAUGGAAACAGGAGGCCAUGUGGGGAAGAUUCAGAGCCACUUUCUUUAAUUUAUUUUUUAAGUGAGCAACAAAGGAAUAACAUGGAUCCACCCUACUCCCAAGGGGGGGUACCCUCUAAACUUCUAAUAAAGGCAUGUGAUUGUAAGAGGAGCUUUGUUGUAGGCCACCCCAAUGCUGUACAUCUGUAGGCUCCAAUUCCUUGGCCCCACAAAACUCACACCCAUUGCCUAUCUAUCCCCCCGGCCCUUCUCCUAAAAAAAAUAAAAAUUUGUAGCUUAAGUGGUUAAAAGUAUUUAC
RNAcentral lists this long non-coding RNA (2634 nucleotides) under Prunus persica (peach). Its description in RNAcentral is "long non-coding RNA (PPER_LNC003902)". Lineage: Eukaryota; Viridiplantae; Streptophyta; Magnoliopsida; Rosales; Rosaceae. The record is from RNAcentral.